GUCGAACGGACUCAUAUUGAAACCUAGUGAUUGUUAAGUUAGUGGCGGACGGGUGAGUAACGCGUGGAUAACCUGCCGUAUGCAGGGGGAUAACAGUUGGAAACAGCUGCUAAUACCGCAUAAGCGCACAGUACCGCAUGGUACGGUGUGAAAAGAUUUAUCGGCAUACGAUGGAUCCGCGUCCGAUUAGCCAGUUGGCGGGGUAACGGCCCACCAAAGCGACGAUCGGUAGCCGGCCUGAGAGGGCGGACGGCCACAUUGGGACUGAGACACGGCCCAAACUCCUACGGGAGGCAGCAGUGGGGAAUAUUGCACAAUGGGGGAAACCCUGAUGCAGCGACGCCGCGUGAGUGAAGAAGUAUCUCGGUAUGUAAAGCUCUAUCAGCAGGGAAGAAAAUGACGGUACCUGACUAAGAAGCCCCGGCUAACUACGUGCCAGCAGCCGCGGUAAUACGUAGGGGGCAAGCGUUAUCCGGAUUUACUGGGUGUAAAGGGAGCGUAGACGGCGCUGCAAGUCCGGAGUGAAAGCCCAUGGCUUAACCAUGGUACUGCUCUGGAAACUGUGGAGCUUGAGUGCGGGAGGGGCAGGCGGAAUUCCUAGUGUAGCGGUGAAAUGCGUAGAUAUUAGGAGGAACACCGGCGGCGAAGGCGGCCUGCUGGACCGUAACUGACGUUGAGGCUCGAAAGCGUGGGGAGCAAACAGGAUUAGAUACCCUGGUAGUCCACGCCGUAAACGAUGAUUACCAGGUGUCGCGGUACGAAGUACUGCGGUGCCGGCGCAAACGCAAUAAGUAAUCCACCUGGGGAGUACGUUCGCAAGAAUGAAACUC
RNAcentral lists this ribosomal RNA (830 nucleotides) under uncultured bacterium. RNAcentral's name for it is "bacterial SSU rRNA". It matches the Rfam family "Bacterial small subunit ribosomal RNA", at positions 61 to 902 of the family's 1533-position model. The record is from RNAcentral.